CCCGCGGCUAGACGGAAAGACCCCGUGAACCUUUACUACAGCUUGGCACUGAACAUUGACCCUACAUGUGUAGGAUAGGUGGGAGGCUUUGAAGCACGUACGCCAGUAUGUGUGGAGCCGUCCUUGAAAUACCACCCUUGUAGUGUUGAUGUUCUAACGUCGACCCCUUAUCGGGGUUGCGGACAGUGCCUGGUGGGUAGUUUGACUGGGGCGGUCUCC
Molecule: ribosomal RNA, 219 nt
Filed under: Vibrio parahaemolyticus
Lineage: Bacteria; Pseudomonadati; Pseudomonadota; Gammaproteobacteria; Vibrionales; Vibrionaceae
Description: partial 23S ribosomal RNA
Rfam family: Bacterial large subunit ribosomal RNA
Source: RNAcentral